CUGAUUUGGUUUGUUCCAGAGUUUUCUGUAGGUAGAGCGUCUAGAGCCGACACGCAGCAUCACAGCCGAGUGAAGAUGGCGGCUCAGAGAGUGAUGCUGUCAACGAGAGUUUGAGUUCACCUCUCAUUUUUAAACUUCUUAAACCUUUGAGGAUCCCUUACGGAUAGCUGUGUCAAAGAAAACUAUAUCGGUCGCUGCUCCUGACCAUUUAACAAUGGAAACUCAUGUUCUUCCAGAGCCUCUUCAUUUCACAGCCCACACUGCACUUCUGUCAUUGUGAGAAAUUCAGUCUCAGGUCUUUGGCUCUGCUGAUAGACUCCCUCCAGUAAGGUGUCUGAACACACGCUGAGAUUCACACUUCCACCCAGGACAAAUCAACUAGUGCACUGAUUUAUCAAGACCAGCUGCAAGAAGUAAGUGUUUUUGUUGGUUGUUUUUUGAACUGAUCACUGAAAUAAUCCUGAAUUU
This 468-nucleotide long non-coding RNA is filed under the name Sinocyclocheilus grahami. RNAcentral's name for it is "lncRNA (ENSSGRG00000054247.1)". Lineage: Eukaryota; Metazoa; Chordata; Actinopteri; Cypriniformes; Cyprinidae. The record is from RNAcentral.